Molecule: ribosomal RNA, 657 nt
Filed under: uncultured bacterium
Lineage: Bacteria
Description: bacterial SSU rRNA
Rfam family: Bacterial small subunit ribosomal RNA
Source: RNAcentral
CGUCGCUGGCGGCACGCCUAAUACCUGCAAGUUUAACGAAGUAGCAGUACUUAGUGGCAGGCGGGUGAGUAACAUGUAGGUAUCUUGCCCAUUGGUGAGGAACUUAACACGAGGGAAACUUGUGCUAAUACCUCAUAAGUCUUCACGGAGAAAGCUUUAUGCGCCAAUGGAUGAGCCUGCACUUGAUUAGUUUGUUGGUAGGGUAAUGGCCUACCAAGACAAUGAUCAAUAGCUGAUUUGAGAGGAUGAUCAGCCACAUUGGGACUGAGACACGGCCAAACUCCUACGGGAGGCAGCAGUAGGGAAUCUUGCACAAUGGGGGAAACCCUGAUGCAGCGAUGCCGCGUGAGUGAAGAAGGCCUUUGGGUUGUAAAGCUCUUUCGUCGGGGAAGAACAAUGACUGUACCCGAAUAAGAAGGUCCGGCUAACUUCGUGCCAGCAGCCGCGGUAAUACGAAGGGACCUAGCGUAGUUCGGAAUUACUGGGCUUAAAGAGUUCGUAGGUGGUUAAAAAAGUUGGUGGUGAAACUCCCAGAGCUUAACCCUGGAACUGCCACUCACAAACUUUUCAGCUAGAGUAUGAUAGAGGAAAGCAGAAUUUCUAGUGUAGAGGUGAAAUUCGUAGAUAUUAGAACAGAAUACGAUUCCGAAGGCAGUU